GGCCUGCUAAGAAGCCUGAGUUUGGUUCCCAGGAAUGGAGAGCGAGAUAACUGCUACAUGAUCAUAGGGCUUUUCAUCAAUCUUUUCUGUUCAUAAACACAUGCAAUUGCCAUAUGGAAAUAGGAUCUGCUGCCCCAAUUCCUCCUAAAAUAGAGCAUUUCUAAUUGCAGUUAUUUAACUUCCUUUCUGAAGUACUCUCCUUACUCUUCCUUUAGAAAUACUUGUUUUAAUUAUUUGGGUUAGCUUAGCAUGUGGAGGAAAAGGGAGUGGAACCGGCAAUUGGAAAGACUUCUCUGAAACUGGGCCUAGAGUCAUCCUCAGACAAACUAAAGCUGGUCGGUAAGAGGCUUUCUUGGGGGCACUUUGUUCUUCUUCCCAGAAGAAGUUCCACCACCUGCUGUAAGGUCAUGUCCACAGAAUGAGGUGGAGUCUUCAGGACUUUCCUAUCCCUCUCCCACCAUCACUAGAGGGCUAGGACCACCAGGUCUCCUGGGAAUCUAAGCUAUGAAAUAAGUGGAAGCUUUCCAAAGCUUUGAAAGUGACUCAUUUGGUAUCUUUGUACUGAAAGUCUGAAACUGUGUUUUCUCACUAAACUUCUCACUGUUUUUCCCUUUAUUUCUUUAACUGUUUAUAAUCGAGCAUUAAAAGCAGAAGCAAU
Bos indicus x Bos taurus (hybrid cattle) is the source of this 658-nucleotide long non-coding RNA. The record is from Ensembl. NCBI's taxonomy places the organism in Eukaryota, Metazoa, Chordata, Mammalia, Artiodactyla, Bovidae.